AUUGACCCGGCGCGUUGAGUCCGAUGCGCGCGCACUCUCUCUGUGGUCUAGAACCAUCCUAGCCUAGCUCAAACGACCACGCGAUGCCGGCACCUUGUGAAUCCUGUAAAAGUACUUGUAGCGGCGGGAAGGCAGCCUGUGGGGCAUCAUGCACCUGCGGGCCGUCCUGCGCUUGCGGCGAUGGCAACAAGCCAUGCUGCCAGGGAAAGUAAACCUCUCAAAGAUUCCAGAUUCUUCUUAAAGGCUAUAUUUUACUAUUAUCUAAUCGCAUAGUUAUAUAAUUAAUAGUUUAUCGCAAAUAAUGUAGUUGAUAUCUGAAAAUUCUAACAUAAAAAUAUUGUGUCGUCAUGAAAUGAAAGUUUAAAUAUAACUUAUGACUAGCUUAAUGUUUAGAAUAGUUUUUUGCUUAUUGGCUAUAAUAUAAGUGUUAGUGAAAUUUUAUUAUAUUCAAUGUUUAAAUCUAAAUGUAUUCUUGUAAUAAAAGAGUCCCUAGUACUUCAAAUACUCAUUAAUUUAAUAUUGUGAGCAUACACACAAUUGUGUGCAAGAGUAGUAUUAUAUUUAGUAUAAGAAA
Long non-coding RNA from Pieris brassicae (large cabbage white), 574 nucleotides. RefSeq lists it as uncharacterized. NCBI's taxonomy places the organism in Eukaryota, Metazoa, Arthropoda, Insecta, Lepidoptera, Pieridae. The transcript has 3 exons. The record is from RefSeq and is a predicted model, not a curated record.